This is a ribosomal RNA of 128 nucleotides. It matches the Rfam family "5.8S ribosomal RNA", at positions 30 to 154 of the family's 154-position model. From Rfam's summary of the family: 5.8S ribosomal RNA (5.8S rRNA) is a component of the large subunit of the eukaryotic ribosome. It is transcribed by RNA polymerase I as part of the 45S precursor that also contains 18S and 28S rRNA.
GCAUCGAUGAAGAACGCAGCCAGGUGCGAUAAGUAGUGUGAAUUGCAGAAUUCAGUGAAUCAUCGAAUCUUUGAACGCAAAUGGCGCUCCUGGGUUCUCUCAGGAGCAUGUCUGUCUGAGUGUCGGUU